This 363-nucleotide long non-coding RNA is filed under the name Brassica napus (rape). RNAcentral's name for it is "long non-coding RNA (BNAP_LNC025596)". The record is from RNAcentral. Lineage: Eukaryota; Viridiplantae; Streptophyta; Magnoliopsida; Brassicales; Brassicaceae.
GGUUUGAAGUAAAAAUGAGUUGUCGUCUCAUAUUUAAUUCCGUUGAGACGUUCAAUCUGUUGGUUUGUUCGAGACGUGAGUUUUCGUAAAAAUUAUUUAUUCUUACGAAUUUUCGAGAACGUUAAGACAUGAACGGAGAGACAUGGUUUAGGAUCUCGUAUCAUUUUUAGAUAUCAUGUCUUGAGAUGUUAGAGACCAAUGCGAUGGGUUUAGGGCAAGACCUAGGUUUACUCUCGGUUUUAAGGUUUGUGCAGUGACUAGCCGCCUAUCGAUUUUCCUGUUGCAAUUUCUACCUGAUUCAUACUGAUUUAAAGUCUGCGAUAGGUUCUCGGCUUAUAUGACUUGUGUGGCACGAAUCAAGCA